This 71-nucleotide small nucleolar RNA is filed under the name Catagonus wagneri (Chacoan peccary). RNAcentral's name for it is "Small nucleolar RNA SNORD56 (ENSCWAG00000007624.1)". It matches the Rfam family "Small nucleolar RNA SNORD56". From Rfam's summary of the family: U56 belongs to the C/D class of snoRNA which contain the C (UGAUGA) and D (CUGA) box motifs. Most of the members of the box C/D family function in directing site-specific 2'-O-methylation of substrate RNAs. The record is from Rfam by way of RNAcentral. Lineage: Eukaryota; Metazoa; Chordata; Mammalia; Artiodactyla; Tayassuidae.
CUGGAGUGAUGGCAAUAUUUUCUGUCAACAGCAGCUCACCUAGAGAGUGUUGAUACUUGGGGUCUGAGUGA